This 463-nucleotide long non-coding RNA is filed under the name Brassica napus (rape). RNAcentral's name for it is "long non-coding RNA (BNAP_LNC009552)". Lineage: Eukaryota; Viridiplantae; Streptophyta; Magnoliopsida; Brassicales; Brassicaceae. The record is from RNAcentral.
AGUGACGCGUAACGCCUAGACGGCCGAUUUUUAGAACAGGGGUGAAACAACAGUCAGAAAAUGAUAAACAAUGGUUUUAAGCAUCUUUAUCGAGAUUAAAAAAUGUAUUUUCAGUCGUGCGUCCAAGUGGGAUAAUAUAUUAUACAUAAAAUUUGAAAACCAAUAUUUUUAGCGAGUUUAUCACAUACUGUAUUAAGGAUUUGUUGGCGUGGUCUGAGAUAAAGGUAUCAUAUACUUAUCCACAAUAUUGCACUUUUUCAAAUCGACUUGGCGUUCAUUAGCCACCACAACUUCUAACAUAGACUUCUUACAGCCACAUAUAUCCGAUAUGGUGAAGAUUUUAUGACAAGUAAAAGGGGAAAAGAAACUGAACAUCCACCAAUACUUUGUCGCUGCAAAAAAUACUUGAAGAACGAAUUUGACACACACAAAAGAUGCCAGAAUUAAAGAACAACAUUAUUUG